Long non-coding RNA from Thunnus maccoyii (southern bluefin tuna), 1334 nucleotides. RefSeq lists it as uncharacterized. The transcript is spliced from 5 exons. The record is from RefSeq and is a predicted model, not a curated record. NCBI's taxonomy places the organism in Eukaryota, Metazoa, Chordata, Actinopteri, Scombriformes, Scombridae.
AUGCAGUUCAUAGUGAAUUAAAACACGCUAUAGGCAGAUGAAUAAAUCUUUGUCAUUGUGUGGGUGAAGUUCAUGCAGUUCAAGUAGUUUGUUUGCUGUACACAUAAGAAUAGCAUGUUUGUCUUAUAACCUAACCCUAGAGGGCGUAAAGUUGUCAAUCUUAGCAUUUUUUAAUUGCACUGGUUGUGACCGACCUGUAAGCCAAUUGGAAAGGUGGAGGGGUGGGCUGUUUAGAAGACCCCCGUAGAGCAAAGCCGUAGGCUAGUCAGACGACAAAUAGGAGCUGUGUGAAGACUGUUUAUGUUCAUUACUUUGGUGGAUGCAGAGUUUUACCGACGGGUAAUGGACAUCAUAGCCACCUGCAGAAGAACCAGGAAACACUCCGUGGACUCUAUGGAAGAGUAGAUGUCUCCUGCUCAGCUAUCACUUCGUCUGGACUGUUGUCGCCCGCCAGCCUGUAACCUCACUCAUCAUUCCCCUCGUCACGCAUCGCCCCGUUCCCAUGUUUCAACUCAGGGAUUUGUGACGACCACUCCUGCGGAUGCCAGAGUCCAGUCUCUCCCUAUUAUCACAGGUCUCACUGUGCAAGGAGAACCUCAACCUGAGAUCCUGUGUACAACCAAAUGGAUGCUGUCGAUGGAGACCUGACUUCACCACCACCUUGGCUGUCCUUCACAUUUUACAACAUGUUCACCGUUGAAUAUCAGGAGGAAACAACAACAUCGCUAGAUAGUUUAAUUCAAUUUGCUGAAGAACACAAAGCAGCAGUGGAGGAUCAAAGUGAAAUCACCCAGCUCCUGACCUGUGGCCCAGUCCACUUGCAAAAGUAGACUGAAGCGGGCUUCUGGACUCUUUAUGCAAGUAUGUAUCCGCAAACACAAUUUUAAAGACUCUAAGAACACCUGCCUACCUGGUGAAUUGAGGUCUCCCAUAGUUGAAUAUCCAUGUUUAGAUUACUGAAGAGUGUUUUGUUUCAAGGAAAGUACAGUCUCUAGUAUAUUGUCAAAUUCAGUAAUUUGUUUAACUGUGGCAACAGAUUUAAACAAGUUUUUAUGUGCUGGAUUUUUAAUGUUGUCUUUGUAACACAUGCUAAUGUUUGUAAUAUAAACAUUUAAAAAUUUUGUUGACCUUGAAUGACUUUAGAGGACAGAAAGUUGCACCCUACUUUUAUGGCUAAAGGGGAUGUGGUAGAAUGUAUGUAGUAUGCAGCAGUAAGCCAUAACUACCUUGUCAUGUCACCAGCUCUAACACUAUUGAAUUGUUUUGGAUUUCGUUGUGUUUUCUACAGUUUUACUCUUGAUUCAUGAAAGCAUCUACAACAGCAUCUUAUUAAA